CGCGAUUCGCCCUUGGUGCAGCAGGCGCGAAAACUUUACAAUGCCGGCAACGGCGAUAAGGGAACCUCGAGUGCCAGGUUACAAAUCUGGCUGUCGUGAUGCCUAAAAAGCAUUGCAUAGCAAGGGCCGGGCAAGACCGGUGCCAGCCGCCGCGGUAACACCGGCGGCUCGAGUGGUAACCGUUAUUAUUGGGUCUAAAGGGUCUGUAGCCGGCCGGGUAAGUCUCUUGGGAAAUCUGGCAGCUUAACUGUCAGGCUUUCAGGAGAUACUGCCUGGCUCGAGGCCGGGAGAGGUGAGAGGUACUUCAGGGGUAGAGGUGAAAUCUUGUAAUCCUUGAAGGACCACCAGUGGCGAAGGCGUCUCACCAGAACGGACCUGACGGCAAGGGACGAAAGCUAGGGGCACGAACCGGAUUAGAUACCCGGGUAGUCCUAGCCGUAAACGAUACUCGCUAGGUGUCGGCCACGGUGCGACCGUGGUCGGUGCCGUAGGGAAGCCGUGAAGCGAGCCACCUGGGAAGUACGGCCGCAAGGCUGAAACUUAAAGGAAUUGGCGGGGGAGCAC
Molecule: ribosomal RNA, 564 nt
Filed under: uncultured archaeon
Lineage: Archaea
Description: bacterial SSU rRNA
Rfam family: Archaeal small subunit ribosomal RNA
Source: RNAcentral